UCCAAAAAUAAUUACUCAAUCAAAUUGAGUUAAUUAGUGAUCAAAUCACUAAUUAAAUCUCUCAUAAAUAUUGAAUCUAAAUUCGAUGGGCAAUCGGGUAUCAGAAUUCAUCGAUAUGUAACCCUGAUCGAAAAGUCCCAACCAGUGGGACUCUUGACCCCGGUACCCAUAAUGUGUGGAACUCAUGAUCAGAGAAUCCUGAUUCUCGAUCACUGAGUCUCAAACAUGAAGAAUUCUACACCAGCCAUC
Molecule: long non-coding RNA, 249 nt
Filed under: Elaeis guineensis (African oil palm)
Lineage: Eukaryota; Viridiplantae; Streptophyta; Magnoliopsida; Arecales; Arecaceae
Description: long non-coding RNA (EGUI_LNC080437)
Source: RNAcentral